Molecule: ribosomal RNA, 484 nt
Filed under: uncultured bacterium
Lineage: Bacteria
Description: partial 16S ribosomal RNA
Rfam family: Bacterial small subunit ribosomal RNA
Source: RNAcentral
AUCGAACGCUGGCGGCAGGCCUAACACAUGCAAGUCGAGCGGAUGAAGGGAGCUUGCUCCUGGAUUCAGCGGCGGACGGGUGAGUAAUGCCUAGGAAUCUGCCUGGUAGUGGGGGAUAACGUCCGGAAACGGGCGCUAAUACCGCAUACGUCCUGCGGGAGCAAGUGGGGGAUCUUCGGACCUCACGCUAUCAGAUGAGCCUAGGUCGGAUUAGCUAGUUGGUGGGGUAAAGGCCUACCAAGGCGACGAUCCGUAACUGGUCUGAGAGGAUGAUCAGUCACACUGGAACUUAGACACGGUCCAGACUCCUACGGGAGGCAGCAGUGGGGAAUAUUGGACAAUGGGCGAAAGCCUGAUCCAGCCAUGCCGCGUGUGUGAAGAAGGUCUUCGGAUUGUAAAGCACUUUAAGUUGGGAGGAAGGGCAGUAAGUUAAUACCUUGCUGUUUUGACGUUACCAACAGAAUAAGCACCGGCUAACUUCGUG